GAAGCUCUCCCCAAAGGAUGUGCCUGCAGAGUUGACGGUCAGGCCACCAGUGGCCUUGAGGGCCAUCAGGGCCAUCAAACACUUUGCCAAGAAGGAUCAUUCUUACUGCUGCCUAGGACGCUGGCCAGAAGGGUUGAGGUGAAGGUGAAAUGACCAGGAAAAUGGCUUCUACAAUAAUCCAGGUGAAAAGAAAAAAGGAAGACAGAGCCGUGUAAAGGGAGGCGCUGGUGGACAGAUCUCAAGACAGAGGAAGAGAUGUGGACUCUUAGCUCCACUACCAGCGACUGAACCUGCACCCCCUGCAUUGGAAGCACAGUCUGAACCACUGGACCACCACAGAAGUCCCUGCUUUGCCUUUUAAUCUACAAAAUCAUCCAAGGUCUCGUUGGUUCUGCGGAGCUGCUGUUUAUUUCCCUGUUAAAUUCUAAUUUGAUUAAACAGCUCAGAAGGUUGUAGGUAACUUUGCAAAAGGUCUAAAAUUACGUUGCUACAUUAGGUUGGCUUUUAGACAUGUGGCCUGGGGCCUGGCUGAGGGGAAAGGAGGCACUCUAGAAGCCUCAGAAGCUGCUCCUCCAUAGAGAAGUGUUGGAGCAUCAUUUGCAGAAAUAGCUGGACACCAAGGCAAUUUAUAAUGAAUCUAAUGUUAGUAUGAUACUUGAGAGGCUCACUCAUUCUUACAGUGAUCCCAUGAGAUAAUAGCAUAAUAAUAAGGAUCUCCUUGAUGGGAAAUUGAAGUACUUAGAAGUAAAGUGCUUUGUCUGAAUUUGCACUGUAAUGAGAGGCAGAGCUGGCCCUUGAUGGUAAGUAUUCCUUGUACUGAGUCACAUCACUAACUUAAUUGUAUUUAGGAGGAGCCACUUAUUUAUUUAUUAUUUUUGGUAAUUUUAAAAAAUGGAAGUGUAGUUGAUUUACAAUGUUGCAUUAAUUUCGGCUUCACAGCAAAGUGAUUCAGUUGUACAUAUACAGACAUUCUUUUUUAUAUUCUUUUCCACUAUGGUUUAUCACAGUAUAUUGAAUAUAGUUCACCGUUUUAUACAGCAGGGCCUUGUUGUUUAUCCACUCUAUUUAUAAUGGCUUACAUCUGCUGACCCCGACCUCCCACUCCAUUCCUUCCCCAAACCUCUUCCUGCUGGCAACCACAAGUCUGUUCUUUAUGUACGUGAGUCUGUUUCAUAGAUAAAUUCAUUUGUGUCAUAUUUUAGAUUCCACAUAUAAGCGAUAUCAUAUGGCAUUUGUCUUUCUCUUUCUGACUUAAUUAAUUUAGUAUGAUAGUCUAAUUGUAUCCAUGUUGCUGCAAAUGGCAUUA
Molecule: long non-coding RNA, 1306 nt
Organism: Cervus elaphus (red deer)
Lineage: Eukaryota; Metazoa; Chordata; Mammalia; Artiodactyla; Cervidae
Exons: 3
Source: RefSeq, a predicted model, not a curated record